This 253-nucleotide ribosomal RNA is filed under the name uncultured bacterium. RNAcentral describes it as "partial 16S ribosomal RNA". It matches the Rfam family "Bacterial small subunit ribosomal RNA", at positions 524 to 776 of the family's 1533-position model. The record is from RNAcentral.
UACGGAGGAUGCAAGCGUUAUCCGGAAUGAUUGGGCGUAAAGCGUCCGCAGGUGGCUAUGUAAGUCUGCUGUUAAAGAGUGAGGCUCAACCUCAUAAGAGCAGUGGAAACUACAUAGCUAGAGUGCGUUCGGGGCAGAGGGAAUUCCUGGUGUAGCGGUGAAAUGCGUAGAUAUCAGGAAGAACACCGGUGGCGAAAGCGCUCUGCUAGGCCGCAACUGACACUGAGGGACGAAAGCUAGGGUAGCGAACGGG